UCCCUCGUAGCUCAGUCGGUAAAGAAUCUGCCUGCAAUGCAGGAGACCUGGGUUCGAUUCCUGGGUCGGGAA
This 72-nucleotide transfer RNA is filed under the name Ovis aries (sheep). It matches the Rfam family "tRNA". From Rfam's summary of the family: Transfer RNA (tRNA) molecules are approximately 80 nucleotides in length. Their secondary structure includes four short double-helical elements and three loops (D, anti-codon, and T loops). The record is from Rfam by way of RNAcentral. Lineage: Eukaryota; Metazoa; Chordata; Mammalia; Artiodactyla; Bovidae.